AUGUUGAUGCAACUCGGGUGGAGCUUCGGGGAGUUAAGCCAGGGCAAACACAAAGUUGAAGGAAAAGCAGUAAGCCUUUAGGACGAUGCAAGCAUAUGGAUGAUGAUCAAGUCAUUGCUAUCAAACCGAACACACUCAAGAUCUUGUUCCGCUACUUUUGUUUAUACUUGUAGUUGAUAAAACUAAUGUAAUUAAAGGAAUAUUAUGUAUCCUAAUGUUGUUUUUGAACGUUUGUUAAACUAGUAAUUACUAAACUAAUGAUAAUGUAAAUGUUUGGGCUUAACGUUUAUAAAGAUUAGUUCUAUUUUGUUGU
RNAcentral lists this long non-coding RNA (313 nucleotides) under Helianthus annuus (common sunflower). Its description in RNAcentral is "sRNA HanXRQr2_Chr16g0755271". The record is from RNAcentral. Lineage: Eukaryota; Viridiplantae; Streptophyta; Magnoliopsida; Asterales; Asteraceae.